Molecule: ribosomal RNA, 502 nt
Filed under: uncultured bacterium
Lineage: Bacteria
Description: bacterial SSU rRNA
Rfam family: Bacterial small subunit ribosomal RNA
Source: RNAcentral
GACGAACGCUGGCGGCGCGCUUAACACAUGCAAGUCGAACGAAGCGAUAAAGCGGAAACCUUCGGGAGGAAGCUAUAUUGACUGAGUGGCGGACGGGUGAGUAACGCGUGAGCAACCUAUCCUUUAGAGGGGGACAACUUUGAGAAAUCAAGGCUAAUACCGCGUAAGACCACAGCAGGGCAUCCUGCAGGGGUCAAAGGAGAAAUCCGCUAAAGGAGGGGCUCGCGUCCCAUUAGGUAGUUGGUGAGGUAACGGCUCACCAAGCCAGCGAUGGGUAGCCGUGCUGAGAGGCAGACCGGCCACACUGGAACUGAGACACGGUCCAGACUCCUACGGGAGGCAGCAGUGGGGAAUCUUGGGCAAUGGGGGAAACCCUGACCCAGCGACGCCGCGUGAGAGAAGAAGGCCUUCGGGUUGUAAAUCUCUGUGACAGGGGACGAAGAAGUGACGGUACCCUGAGAGGAAGCCCCGGCUAACUACGUGCCAGCCGCCGCAGUAAGAC